This 255-nucleotide ribosomal RNA is filed under the name uncultured bacterium. Its description in RNAcentral is "partial 16S ribosomal RNA". It matches the Rfam family "Bacterial small subunit ribosomal RNA", at positions 524 to 776 of the family's 1533-position model. The record is from RNAcentral.
UACGUAGGGCGCAAGCGUUUGUCCGGAAUUAUUGGGCGUAAAGAGCUCGUAGGCGGCUUGUCGCGUCGGUUGUGAAAGCCCGGGGCUCAACCCCGGGUCUGCAGUCGAUACGGGCAGGCUAGAGUGUGGUAGGGGGAGAUCGGAAUUCCUGGUGUAGCGGUGGAAUGCGCAGAUAUCAGGAGGAACACCGAUGGCGAAGGCAGAUCUCUGGGCCGUAACUGACGCUGAGGAGCGAAAGCUAGGGGAGCAAACAGG